GUCCCGAGCGCGCACGCAGGCCACACGCAGGGCACGCACGACCGGCGGGGCCAGCGCUCCCAACCGUCUUUGUCCCCGCCCCGAUCGCGUCGUCUCGCGAGAGUUGGGAGUAAACAGCCCCGAAUGGAGAGCCGAGGCGUGUUCGCUGCGGAGGCGCCGUUAUCCCGGGCCCGGCGGACCCGAGCUUGAGGCGGCCGCAGGAAGUCUUUUGGUUUCCUAUUGCUACUGUGACAAAUUUCUACAAACUUAAUGGCUUAAAACAACACGAAUUGCUUACUUACGGUUCUGGAGGUGCGUCGUCCAGAGUCGGCCUCCCUGGGCUGAAGGUAAGCUGUCGGCAGGGCGUCCGUCCUUCUGGAAGUUCUGAGGGGAGUCUGUUUGCUUCCCUUUUUCAGUUUCCUGAGGUGGCUGCACUCCUUGGCUCCUGACCUCCUCCCCUGCUUACUGCAGCCUCCUGCGUCCAUCACAUCUGCUACUGCCCCCUCACAACGCCUGCCUCCCUCUUGUGAGGACUCUUGUAAUUACCUUGGACCCACCUGGAUAAUCCAGGAUGCUCUCCCCAUCUCGAGAUUCUUAGUUUAAUUACACCUGCAAAGUCCCUUU
RNAcentral lists this long non-coding RNA (603 nucleotides) under Equus asinus (donkey). RNAcentral's name for it is "lncRNA (ENSEASG00005028381.1)". Lineage: Eukaryota; Metazoa; Chordata; Mammalia; Perissodactyla; Equidae. The record is from RNAcentral.